AAGGGCACCACAAGAACGCGUGGAGCAUGUGGCUUAAUUUGACUCAACGCGGGAAAUCUUACCGGGUCCGGACACACUGAGGAUUGACAGAUAUACGUAUACUAUAUGUAUACGUUCAAAGAUGCUAGUUCUUUCAUGAUUAUGUGAUAGGUGGUGCAUGGCCGUUCUUAGUUCGUGGAGUGAUCUGUCUGCUUAAUUGCGUUUCAUAUAUACGUACAUAUUUUCAUAUGUGUACACUUUGAAAGCAACGAACGUGACCGUAUUCUUUUGUUAUAUAUACUAUACGCGAGUAUAUAAACCAAAAUGUGAGACCGCUGUUUCUUUCUUUUAAACCAGAGGAAGGUUAUGGCAAUAACAGGUCUGUGAUGCCCUUCGAUGUUCCGGGCUGCACACGUGCUACAAUGAUUAUAUCAUUAAGUACAUAUAUCCUACUCUGAGAAUAGUUGGUAAUCAGAAGUAAUGAUCUCUCUCGUAUACGCAUACAUGUAUCGUAUAUAUUAAUAUAUAUUAAUUUAUACGUAUACGCGUAAAUAUUAAUUCAUGGUGGGGAUAGUCCAUUGUUAAUUGUUGGUCUCGGUCUAAACUAGGAAUGCCUUGUACGGGUUAUUGGUUCAACAAACCACCCGGAAUACGUCCCUGCCCUUUGUACACACCGCCCGUCGCUCUUACCGAUGAACUUCGCUAUGAAUCUAUUAGACUGCGUUAUACGCGCGGAAAGAUAUAUGAAUAGUGUGGUUUAAAGGAAAGAGAAGUCGUAACAAGGCAUCGGUAGGUGAACCU
This 780-nucleotide ribosomal RNA is filed under the name Elphidium aculeatum. RNAcentral's name for it is "SSU rRNA". It matches the Rfam family "Eukaryotic small subunit ribosomal RNA", at positions 1160 to 1816 of the family's 1831-position model. Lineage: Eukaryota; Foraminifera; Rotaliida; Elphidiidae. The record is from RNAcentral.